UAGUAUACGAGGAAACGCUGAAGGAGGAAGACGACUGCUGAAGAGGAAGACGAAGAGGAGGAGGAAGGAGAGGAGGAAGAGGAGUUGAUGGACCUUUGCAAUCUGCACCGCUGUUCCACUUGUUCCGCCCUCCAAAUACUCCUUCCUACCUACGAGGGCUUCGUGGUGCAGUGGUUAGCACACUCGGCUCACAAUUGAGAGCCCAGGUUCAAUUCCCGGGUGGAGUUGAAAAAUUUGGGCGGCUUUUCCGAUACCCUACGCCCCUGUCCACCCAGCAGUGAAUGGGUACCAGGCUUUCUCAGGGACAACCAGGAGAAGACGAAGAUGAAAUUACAAAACCCAGAAGGCUGAAAGAGGAAGCCAGUCAGUCAGUCUACAGUCAUUACAAAACCCUGAAGACAAGACUGGAGGAGGAAGUCAGUCUAGUGUCAUCCCAAGAGGAGGCGGCCUGAGGUGCCAGCCAUCCACAGUCCACUCUUAUUCUCCCGUCCACUGAAGAAGGCACCAAGUAAGAGUUGCAAGGCAGAAGUGUGAGCUACAGAAAAAAGUGUCAAGAUGCAGUGUGGAGGGCCAGUUUCUCAAGAUGAGCCGGAGCAAGGCUGCCUCAAGCUGCUGUCCAAUCAGCGAAGAGAUCACCUCGGCAGCCCGGCAGGCCACAAUGGCAAUGUUCAGACUACAACAGCGUUCAGGGAAAACAAAACUACACACAUUUCGCGGCAGCCAUGGAGUCAUUAUUGAAACUGAAUUAUUAGCAUUAGAGUUUUACUAUGGAGAUAUACAUAUAUUACCACUGUAGUGAAAGACAGAGUAUGGAAGGAAAAUCACCAAAAUUUGUAGAAGUUUAGUAAAAUAAAUGUUUGCAAUAUACAAAAAAUCUACAAAAGGUGAAAAUGACAUCCUGAAACUAAGGUGAAGAUAUGAAAGCAAAAUACCUUGCCUGAAAAGGUGUGUAAAAACCUGCCUGGGUACACAAGUGCCUGAAAAGGUGUGUAAAAACCUGCCUGGGUACACAAGUGCCUGAAAAGGUGUGUAAAAACCUGCCUGGGUACACAAGUGCCUGAAAAGGUGUGUAAAAACCUGCCUGGGUACACAAGUGCCUGAAAAGGUGUGUAAAAACCUGCCUGGGUACACAAGUGCCUGAAAAGGUGUGUAAAAACCUGCCUGGGUACACCAGUGCCUGAAAAGGUGUGUAAAAACCUGCCUGGGUACACGAGUGCAGAGUAACAGCCACACCCUGCAACACUCAGGAUGCAA
Eriocheir sinensis (Chinese mitten crab) is the source of this 1254-nucleotide long non-coding RNA. RefSeq lists it as uncharacterized. The record is from RefSeq and is a predicted model, not a curated record. The transcript is spliced from 5 exons. Lineage: Eukaryota; Metazoa; Arthropoda; Malacostraca; Decapoda; Varunidae.